This 494-nucleotide ribosomal RNA is filed under the name uncultured bacterium. RNAcentral's name for it is "partial 16S ribosomal RNA". It matches the Rfam family "Bacterial small subunit ribosomal RNA", at positions 28 to 507 of the family's 1533-position model. The record is from RNAcentral.
GACGAACGCUGGCGGUGCGCUUAACACAUGCAAGUCGAACGGAAAGGCCUGCUUUCCCUUGUGGAUUGCGGGUACUCGAGUGGCGAACGGGUGAGUAACACGUGAGUGAUCUGCCCCCAACUUGGGUAUAAGCCUGGGAAACUGGGUCUAAUUCCCGAUAGGACUGCAGGGUGGUGCCUGUGGUGGAAAACGAUUUUCUAGUGGCUGGGGAUGAGCUCGCGGCCUAUCAGCUUGUUGGUGGGGUAAUGGCCUACCAAGGCGGCGACGGGUAGCCGGCCUGAGAGGGUGGACGGCGACAGUGGGACUGGGAUACGGCCAAGACUCCUACGGGAGGAAGCAGUGGGGAAUAUUGCACAAUGGGCGGAAGCCUGAUGCAGCGACGCCGCGUGGGGGAUGACGGCCUUCGGGUUGUAAACUCCUUUCGACCGAGAGGAAGCCACCUGGUUGGAAGGGUGGUGACGGUAGUGGUAGAAGAAGCACCGGCUAACUACGUG